GACGAACGCUGGCGGCGUGCCUAAUACAUGCCAGUAGAACGCUGAAGGAAGGAGCUUGCUCUUUCUGGAUGAGUUGCGAACGGGUGAGUAACGCGUAGGUAACCUGCCUGGUAGCGGGGGAUAACUAUUGGAAACGAUAGCUAAUACCGCAUAAAAUUGAUUAUUGCAUGAUAGUCAAUUAAAAGGUGCAACUGCACCACUACCAGAUGGACCUGCGUUGUAUUAGCUAGUUGGUGGGGUAACGGCUCACCAAGGCGACGAUACAUAGCCGACCUGAGAGGGUGAUCGGCCACACUGGGACUGAGACACGGCCCAGACUCCUACGGGAGGCAGCAGUAGGGAAUCUUCGGCAAUGGACGGAAGUCUGACCGAGCAACGCCGCGUGAGGGAAGAAGGUUUUCGGAUCGUAAAGCUCUGUUGUAAGAGAAGAACGAGUGUGAGAGUGGAAAGUUCACACUGUGACGGUAUCUUACCAGAAAGGGACGGCUAACUACGUG
Molecule: ribosomal RNA, 497 nt
Filed under: uncultured bacterium
Lineage: Bacteria
Description: partial 16S ribosomal RNA
Rfam family: Bacterial small subunit ribosomal RNA
Source: RNAcentral